This 561-nucleotide ribosomal RNA is filed under the name uncultured bacterium. RNAcentral's name for it is "partial 16S ribosomal RNA". It matches the Rfam family "Bacterial small subunit ribosomal RNA", at positions 355 to 909 of the family's 1533-position model. The record is from RNAcentral.
UGGGGAAUUUUGGACAAUGGGCGAAAGCCUGAUCCAGCAAUGCCGCGUGUGUGAAGAAGGCCUUCGGGUUGUAAAGCACUUUUGUCCGGAAAGAAAUCCUUGGCUCUAAUACAGUCGGGGGAUGACGGUACCGGAAGAAUAAGCACCGGCUAACUACGUGCCAGCAGCCGCGGUAAUACGUAGGGUGCAAGCGUUAAUCGGAAUUACUGGGCGUAAAGCGUGCGCAGGCGGUUUGCUAAGACCGAUGUGAAAUCCCCGGGCUCAACCUGGGAACUGCAUUGGUGACUGGCAGGCUAGAGUAUGGCAGAGGGGGGCAGAAUUCCACGUGUAGCAGUGAAAUGCGUAGAGAUGUGGAGGAAUACCGAUGGCGAAGGCAGCCCCCUGGGCCAAUACUGACGCUCAUGCACGAAAGCGUGGGGAGCAAACAGGAUUAGAUACCCUGGUAGUCCACGCCCUAAACGAUGUCAACUAGUUGUUGGGGAUUCAUUUCCUUAGUAACGUAGCUAACGCGUGAAGUUGACCGCCUGGGGAGUACGGUCGCAAGAUUAAAACUCAAAGGAA